UUCAUUGUACUCUGGUUUGAUUUUAUGAUUUACUUCAUCAAUGGUAACAAAAUCAAGGUAACAUAUUGCCACAUGUCAGCACGCUGUAAAUAUUGUUCAACCUCAAGCCUUUCUUGUAUCUUCUACUAUCUGGAGAAGUGCAUUCCACCCAAGGACUGUUGUUUCAAGUUGGAUAUUAAAAGAAAUGGAAGUAAACAAAGUACCUGAAGAAGGCAAUUUUUAUUGUUUCUUCAGGAUAAAGCAAGAACUUCCCCUGCCAACACACUCUCCAGCCCCAUCUCCCUGUUUUCAUUCCUCCUUUCCUUUAUUCUCCCCAUCCCACUCCAUCCCUCUCUGCUUCCCUCUCCAUCUCCCCCCUCCAUCUGUCAUGUGAGACUGGAAUUCAUGAUCAGCCUUUUUACCUCAACCUCCAGAGAAGUUGGGGGAAAGGAAAACACGCAGAAAAAAAUGAUAAUCUCUAUGAAAAAUGCAAUUUCACAUGCAUUUUGUCUAAUAAAAGGUCAUCAUUCA
Molecule: long non-coding RNA, 510 nt
Organism: Mastomys coucha (southern multimammate mouse)
Lineage: Eukaryota; Metazoa; Chordata; Mammalia; Rodentia; Muridae
Exons: 2
Source: RefSeq, a predicted model, not a curated record